GUUACGGGACCACGCGACAUGACCCGAUCACGUAUGGCGUCGGCGUGUUGUAUAGAGAUAAAGCCCAGAAGCACCGCAGUGACUAGGCCACAGCGAAUGUUUAUAAAAAACAAGAGCCUCUGCUAAACCGUAAGAUGAUGUACAGGGGCGGACGCCUGCACGGUGCGGGAAGGGUAAGCGG
RNAcentral lists this ribosomal RNA (181 nucleotides) under Staphylococcus aureus. RNAcentral describes it as "partial 23S ribosomal RNA". It matches the Rfam family "Bacterial large subunit ribosomal RNA", at positions 1704 to 1884 of the family's 2925-position model. The record is from RNAcentral. Lineage: Bacteria; Bacillati; Bacillota; Bacilli; Caryophanales; Staphylococcaceae.